This is a long non-coding RNA of Quercus robur (English oak), 189 nucleotides long. RefSeq lists it as uncharacterized. NCBI's taxonomy places the organism in Eukaryota, Viridiplantae, Streptophyta, Magnoliopsida, Fagales, Fagaceae. The transcript has 2 exons. The record is from RefSeq and is a predicted model, not a curated record.
UCACUUGCAUCAUUGAGGUAAUGAUGCUACUUUGAUUGUUUUUAGCAAGUGAGAUUGAAUUUAUUAAUGUAAUUGUUCCAGCAGUUUUUUCACUAUUUGUGGGAUUGAAAGCUAGAACGUUUGUGAGUUCAAAUUUCAAGUUCUUGAAAUGACAAGAAAAUUAAAUCAUUGGUUGAUCACUGGGUUAAA